Molecule: ribosomal RNA, 513 nt
Filed under: uncultured bacterium
Lineage: Bacteria
Description: partial 16S ribosomal RNA
Rfam family: Bacterial small subunit ribosomal RNA
Source: RNAcentral
GACGAACGCUGGCGGCGUGCCUAAUACAUGCAAGUCGAGCGAACACAAGAGGAGCUUGCUCCUCUUUGUUAGCGGCGGACGGGUGAGUAACACGUGGGCAACCUGCCUGUAAGACUGGGAUAACUUCGGGAAACCGGAGCUAAUACCGGAUAAUCCCUUUCCUCCCAUGAGGAAAAGUUGAGAGUCGGUUUACGCUGACACUUACAGAUGGGCCCGCGGCGCAUUAGCUAGUUGGUGAGGUAACGGCUCACCAAGGCGACGAUGCGUAGCCGACCUGAGAGGGUGAUCGGCCACACUGGGACUGAGACACGGCCCAGACUCCUACGGGAGGCAGCAGUAGGGAAUCUUCCGCAAUGGACGAAAGUCUGACGGAGCAACGCCGCGUGAGCGAUGAAGGCCUUCGGGUCGUAAAGCUCUGUUGUUAGGGAAGAACAAGUAUCGGAGUAACUGCCGGUACCUUGACGGUACCUAACCAGAAAGCCACGGCUAACUUCGUGCCAGCCGCCGCGGUAA